Non-coding RNA from Arachis ipaensis, 892 nucleotides. The record is from RefSeq and is a predicted model, not a curated record. Lineage: Eukaryota; Viridiplantae; Streptophyta; Magnoliopsida; Fabales; Fabaceae.
GGCACUUGGAGAAGAAUUGCGUCCAACGGGUGAAAGAAACAGAAUUUUGCAAGGUUUUCAGGAAAGCAAUUUAUGCAAAAUUUGAAAUCAACGACUUUGAGGAGUAUUGGAAGGCAUCGGUUGAGUGCUUAGCCUUGGGUUCAGUCCACGCAUGAAACUAGAGAAAGUUGGGCAAUGGCGUAUCUUAGGGGCACCUUUUGUGCGGUAUAUCGGACAACUUCAAGAUGUGAAGGGAUCAAUGCUUUCAGGGCAUUCAAUCGAAGAAUGGCAACUCUGGUGACACUGUUUUAACGCAUGCAUAUGGGAAUACACCGUCGAUCACUCAUGGGUGUAGUAAUCCAUUUUGCCGCAACCCCAUGGGUGUCUGGGGGUGGGGACUAAUUUCUUCCUCCACGGGCAACACAUCGAGAAAUUUUAUGCCUCUACCUUUCAGAGUUGCUCAGGGCACAUAGGUGAGCCUUUCUGCACAUGCUAGUUGUCGUAAUCCCACUAGGUGGACAAAUGAAGAUUUGUUCGAGUAAUGACUAACACAGAAUGUCGUUGGUAGGUCUUCCUGCACCAGAAAACAUGAAAGUGUCCCCAAGCAAUGAUGUAGGAGAGUGCUGAGAGUCAAGCACCCGGUUGUGUGUCGUUCUCUACUGGUGUGUUGUUGCCACCGUAUCUAACGAGUACGCAUGAUGUAGAAGGGGCUCCGUUAGAAUCCCUAAUAACACUUUGUAUUUUGUGCUUUCUAUAUUAUGAUGCGGGAGCAAUUUCAGCUGUUGGAAUGUGUAUGGUGACCAUGUGAACUUUAUGUUUUUGGGUUAUCUAUAGUCUGGAUCAAAUUUGGCUUGGUUGGGGAGUUGACCCACAUUUUCUGCUGACUAAAGAAAUACAUCGGAGUCUUUGUGUA